UUUGUAUUACGUGCGGAAAUCGUUACCAUUUUCGGCUCAAAAAUGGUAACAAUUUCCGCACGCAAUACAAA
Molecule: microRNA precursor, 71 nt
Filed under: Paramuricea clavata
Lineage: Eukaryota; Metazoa; Cnidaria; Anthozoa; Malacalcyonacea; Plexauridae
Source: RNAcentral